Molecule: ribosomal RNA, 305 nt
Filed under: uncultured bacterium
Lineage: Bacteria
Description: bacterial SSU rRNA
Rfam family: Bacterial small subunit ribosomal RNA
Source: RNAcentral
UCCUACGGGGGGCAGCAGUGGGGAAUAUUGGGCAAUGGGCGCAAGCCUGACCCAGCAACGCCGCGUGAAGGAAGAAGGCUUUCGGGUUGUAAACUUCUUUUGUCAGGGAGCAAUUGGGUCCACGCGUGGGCUUAGCGAGAGUACCUGAAGAAAAAGCAUCGGCUAACUCCGUGCCAGCAGCCGCGGUAAUACGGAGGAUGCGAGCGUUAUCCGGAUUUAUUGGGUUUAAAGGGUGCGUAGGCGGAAUAUCAAGUCAGCGGUAAAAAUUCGGGGCUCAACCCCGUCGUGCCGUUGAAACUGAUGUU